GACGAACGCUGGCGGCGUGCUUAACACAUGCAAGUCGAACGGAAAGGCCCUGCUUUUGUGGGGUGCUCGAGUGGCGAACGGGUGAGUAACACGUGAGUAACCUGCCCUUGACUUUGGGAUAACUUCAGGAAACUGGGGCUAAUACCGGAUAGGAGCUCCUGCUGCAUGGUGGGGGUUGGAAAGUUUCGGCGGUUGGGGAUGGACUCGCGGCUUAUCAGCUUGUUGGUGGGGUAGUGGCUUACCAAGGCUUUGACGGGUAGCCGGCCUGAGAGGGUGACAGGCGACAUUGGGACUGAGAUACGGCCCAGACUCCUACGGGAGGCAGCAGUGGGGAAUAUUGCACAAUGGGCGGAAGCCUGAUGCAGCAACGCCGCGUGCGGGAUGACGGCCUUCGGGUUGUAAACCGCUUUCACCUGUGACGAAGCGUGAGUGACGGUAAUGGGUAAAGAAGCACCGGCUAACUACGUG
RNAcentral lists this ribosomal RNA (468 nucleotides) under uncultured bacterium. RNAcentral describes it as "partial 16S ribosomal RNA". It matches the Rfam family "Bacterial small subunit ribosomal RNA", at positions 28 to 507 of the family's 1533-position model. The record is from RNAcentral.